CGCCAGACUCCUACGGGAGGCAGCAGUAGGGAAUUUUCGGCAAUGGGGGGAACCCUGACCGAGCAACGCCGCGUGAACGAAGAAGUUAUUCGUAAUGUAAAGUUCUUUUAUCAGGGAAGAAAGAGGAAUUUGACGGUACCUGAGGAAUAAGCUCCGGCUAACUACGUGCCAGCAGCCGCGGUAAUACGUAGGGAGCAAGCGUUAUCCGGAUUUAUUGGGUGUAAAGGGUGCGUAGACGGGAAAUUAAGUUAGUUGUGAAAUCCCUCGGCUCAACUGAGGAACUGCAACUAAAACUGGUUUUCUUGAGUGUUGGAGAGGAAAGCGGAAUUCCUAGUGUAGCGGUGAAAUGCGUAGAUAUUAGGAGGAACACCAGUGGCGAAGGCGGCUUUCUGGACAAUAACUGACGUUGAGGCACGAAAGUGUGGGGAGCAAACAGGAUUAGAUACCCUCGUACUA
Molecule: ribosomal RNA, 456 nt
Filed under: uncultured bacterium
Lineage: Bacteria
Description: bacterial SSU rRNA
Rfam family: Bacterial small subunit ribosomal RNA
Source: RNAcentral